Molecule: ribosomal RNA, 718 nt
Filed under: Arthrobacter sp. TA29
Lineage: Bacteria; Bacillati; Actinomycetota; Actinomycetes; Micrococcales; Micrococcaceae
Description: bacterial SSU rRNA
Rfam family: Bacterial small subunit ribosomal RNA
Source: RNAcentral
CCUUCCGCCGCAUGGUGGGGGGUGGAAAGCCUUGUGCGGUUUUGGAUGGACUCGCGGCCUAUCAGCUUGUUGGUGGGGUAAUGGCCUACCAAGGCGACGACGGGUAGCCGGCCUGAGAGGGUGACCGGCCACACUGGGACUGAGACACGGCCCAGACUCCUACGGGAGGCAGCAGUGGGGAAUAUUGCACAAUGGGCGAAAGCCUGAUGCAGCGACGCCGCGUGAGGGAUGACGGCCUUCGGGUUGUAAACCUCUUUCAGUAGGGAACAAGCGCAAGUGAGGGUACCUGCAGAAGAAGCGCCGGCUAACUACGUGCCAGCAGCCGCGGUAAUACGUAGGGCGCAAGCGUUAUCCGGAAUUAUUGGGCGUAAAGAGCUCGUAGGCGGUUUGUCGCGUCUGCCGUGAAAGUCCGGGGCUCAACCCCGGAUCUGCGGUGGGUACGGGCAGACUAGAGUGCAGUAGGGGAGACUGGAAUUCCUGGUGUAGCGGUGAAAUGCGCAGAUAUCAGGAGGAACACCGAUGGCGAAGGCAGGUCUCUGGGCUGUAACUGACGCUGAGGAGCGAAAGCAUGGGGAGCGAACAGGAUUAGAUACCCUGGUAGUCCAUGCCGUAAACGUUGGGCACUAGGUGUGGGGGACAUUCCACGUUUUCCGCGCCGUAGCUAACGCAUUAAGUGCCCCGCCUGGGGAGUACGGCCGCAAGGCUAAAACUCAAGAAG